This is a long non-coding RNA of Equus quagga, 1500 nucleotides long. RefSeq lists it as uncharacterized. The transcript is spliced from 2 exons. The record is from RefSeq and is a predicted model, not a curated record. NCBI's taxonomy places the organism in Eukaryota, Metazoa, Chordata, Mammalia, Perissodactyla, Equidae.
UGGCUUAUCAUUUGUUCUAACCAUUAACAAUUUUAUUAUUUUGUUUCUAUAGAAAUGCCUCUUAUUAAAUAUUUAAUUGCUUGCACCUUAUAGGGCUAACUUUAGGAGUCCACCUGCAUCACUGCCUUCCAAAAUGAGUUUAAACAAACUGACCUACUGUCAGGAUUAAGAGACUGGUUCAGUGAGAUGGAACAAUCUACCAAUUCGGCUUCUGGACUGAGAACUUCUUGGAGAAGUUUCAAAGAUUCCAGCUGGGCCCUCAGCACCUGCAACAUUCAGAAGCCUGAGGAAACCGGAUGGCCUGAGAGGAGAGCCUGAGGCUGCUGAGCUGGGACAGAACCAGGCCCAGUGGAAGCUGGUGUCCCUCAAUGAAAGACUUGGGCCAUGGGAUCCAGGCUUCCCACUGGGCAGUGAGCACUGUCUUCCCAUACAGAUGUCAGAAUAACACCCACUGAGCACCUACAUCCAACUUCAGCUUCGUCCAAAUCCCUCUCACUGAGGGGUUUCAACCUGUGAUGUGGGGGGUUAAAAUAGAAAGCAGGGGUUGUCUGAGUCCCACUAAGUUUGCUCUCUGACUAUAGAAAUCUUAAUACUGAAUCUUCAGAAACCCAAUUUGGCUAUCCAGUUUAGUCUUAGCCCCACAUCUCCCAAACCUCAACCUCUUUGUUAGCCACAAAGAGCCCCAUAAAGACUGAAUCCACCCCUGCCACCCCACGGCACACCCUGCCUUGCUCUGCCUGUCCGCCCUCACUCUAGUCUAAAUCACACCCUCAGGUCCUCUCGGUGCACGAGAUAAAAGACCAGCUAGCUGGACGAUGGCGACCCUCACCUUGGAACUUGCUAUUCGUUUCCCGCUUAGGGGCCUUAAAGGUAAAUACAAAUUAAAAACGAGGAGCUGAAUUCCCCUUGCUGAAAAUAAGGGAAGAGAAUUUUCUCCCCUUCCUUUUCUUAGAGUAUUUACUUUAGAAAACUUGUAAGUUCUUUCUCUGUCUCUUUGAAAUAUAUGUUCAUAAAUCUUUUUUAGAACCUGAAUAAGCCUCUUGUCAGCUUUAUGACCCAGGCAUGUCUUUCUCAAGGACCUGGGAGCCAUUUCCUUGAAAGGUAAACAUCAAGGGAGAUCGCCUGUCUCCCAGUUUCUGUGGGAGACAGGAGUAUCACUUUGGCAGGUGUCUGGAAUUGAGCUGUAAAACUACUUCUUGUCGUAAAGAUAGGAGAAGUUUAUAUUUCCUUUGUAUAAAAUCAAUUAACUAAGACAGAUGGUGACCCCAAUUACCAGAUAAAUUUAAGAUGAACUCUGUUUGACAAAUGGUGCUAUCCAGUCCUCUUACUUGAGGACUAGUUCUGGUUUAUCUCAAGGACAUGUAUGUAAUGGGUCAUAUCUGCUUGGCUAUAUAAGGGGUAAAAUUUCUUUCUGCCUUUGCAAUCUCUUAACAGGUUGCCUGUGAUGCAUAUCACAUUCUGGUUUUAUGCUUAUUUAAUAAAAUUGUUUUCUUUCUCUUC